AUUGAUUUUAUGCUUGCAUAAAUGAUUUUUGGAUUCGGAGCGAGUGGCGAACUGGUGAGUAACACGUGGGUAACCUGCCCCGAAGCGGGGGAUAACAUUUGGAAACAAGUGCUAAUACCGCAUAAUUAGUUGGAACCGCAUGGUUCCAACUUGAAAGAUGGCUCUGCUAUCACUUUGGGAUGGACCCGCGCCGUAUUAGUUAGUUGGUGAGAUAAAAGCCCACCAAGACGAUGAUACGUAGCCGACCUGAGAGGGUAAUCGGCCACAUUGGGACUGAGACACGGCCCAGACUCCUACGGGAGGCAGCAGUAGGGAAUCUUCCACAAUGGACGAAAGUCUGAUGGAGCAACGCCGCGUGAGUGAUGAAGGUUUUCGGAUCGUAAAACUCUGUUGUUAAAGAAGAACAAGUGUUAGAGUAACUGUUAACACUUUGACGGUAUUUAACCAGAAAGCCACGGCUAACUACGUGCCAGCAGCCGCGGUAAUACGUAGGUGGCAAGCGUUGUCCGGAUUUAUUGGGCGUAAAGCGAGCGCAGGCGGUUUUGUAAGUCUGCUGUGAAAGCCCUCAGCUCAACUGAGGAAGUGCAGUGGAAACUACAAAACUUGAGUACAGAAGAGGAAAGUGGAACUCCAUGUGUAGCGGUGAAAUGCGUAGAUAUAUGGAAGAACACCAGUGGCGAAGGCGGCUUUCUGGUCUGUUACUGACGCUGAGGCUCGAAAGCAUGGGUAGCGAACAGGAUUAGAUACCCUGGUAGUCCAUGCCGUAAACGAUGAAUACUAGGUGUUGGAGGGUUUCCGCCCUUCAGUGCCGCAGCUAACGCAUUAAGUAUUCCGCCUGGGGAGUACGACCGCAAGGUUGAAACUCAAAGGAAUUGACGGGGGCCCGCACAAGUGGUGGAGCAUGUGGCUUAAUUCGAUGCUACGCGAAGAACCUUACCAGCUCUUGACAUCUUCUGCCAACCCAAGAGAUUGGGCGUUCCCUUCGGGGACAGAAUGACAGGUGGUGCAUGGUUGUCGUCAGCUCGUGUCGUGAGAUGUUGGGUUAAGUCCCGCAACGAGCGCGACCCUUAUUAUUAGUUGCCAGCAUUUAGUUGGGCACCCUAGUGAGACUGCCGGUGAUAAA
RNAcentral lists this ribosomal RNA (1123 nucleotides) under uncultured bacterium. RNAcentral's name for it is "bacterial SSU rRNA". It matches the Rfam family "Bacterial small subunit ribosomal RNA", at positions 47 to 1162 of the family's 1533-position model. The record is from RNAcentral.